This 245-nucleotide ribosomal RNA is filed under the name uncultured bacterium. RNAcentral's name for it is "partial 16S ribosomal RNA". It matches the Rfam family "Bacterial small subunit ribosomal RNA", at positions 524 to 768 of the family's 1533-position model. The record is from RNAcentral.
UACGGAGGGUGCAAGCGUUAAUCGGAAUUACUGGGCGUAAAGCGCGCGUAGGCGGCUGGGUAAGUCGAUUGUGAAAUCCCCGGGCUCAACCUGGGAAUUGCAGUCGAGACUGCCCGGCUAGAGUGUAGGAGAGGGUGGUGGAAUUCCCGGUGUAGCGGUGAAAUGCGUAGAUAUCGGGAGGAACAUCAGUGGCGAAGGCGACCGCCUGGCCUAACACUGACGCUGAGGUGCGAAAGCGUGGGUAG